Molecule: long non-coding RNA, 1487 nt
Organism: Manis pentadactyla (Chinese pangolin)
Lineage: Eukaryota; Metazoa; Chordata; Mammalia; Pholidota; Manidae
Exons: 3
Source: RefSeq, a predicted model, not a curated record
AAAGAAGAUGUGGUGCAUACACACAAUGGAAUAUUAUUCAGUCAUAACAAAGAAUGAAAUCUUGCUGUUUGAAACAACAUGGAGGGAUCUAGAGGGUAUUAUGCUAAGUGAAAUAAGUCAGAGAUCUCACUUGUAUGUGGAAUCUAAAAAACAAACAAACAAACUACAAAUAGACUCAUAAACACAGAAAACAGACUGAUAGUUGCCAGAGGGGAGGAUGAUGCGGGGGAUGGGUGAAGUAGGUGACAGGGAUAAAGAAGUACAAAUGCCCAAUUAUUAAAUAAAUUAGUCACAGGGAUGAAAGUAGAGCAUAGGGAGUAUAGUCAAUACUAUAGUGGUAUCUUUGUAUGGUGACAGAUGAUAACUAUAUGUCUGUGGUGAGCAUUUAGUAAUGCAUAUAAUUGUUGAAUCAUUAUGUUGUACACCUGAAACCAACAUAAUAUUGUAUAUCGACUAUAUUUCAAUUGAAGAAAAAACAGUGUCAGGGCCUGAGGACAAGUGGGAGAGAGGGUGUACCCCUGUGGGCAUGCAGCCUGCCCUGGUCUGGGCCCCCGGUGUCCAUGGUAGCGGAGGGUGGAAGACAGAGACGCAUACCUGGGAGGGAAACUGCAGGACCCAGCAGAAAGUGACAAGUUAAAGGGACAGGGAGGUCUGGUAUAUUGCCUCAUGCAGAGCACUUCCCCAACUGCCCACACUGAGAUGGCGGGUCUGAGGCCUGAGAGGACAGGGCCUUGCCCCAAAUCCAUACUCUUUAGGCUGCCCCUGCCCACCUCCCCAGCCCCGACUCUCUCGUGCCUCUCCUUUCUUUCUCCACCCAGGUGCUGCUCCAGUUGCUUUCUCUCCAGCCCUUGCUGGGAGACGAUUAGGAUUAGGGAGCAUCCUGCUCGGCCAGGAGCUGGGCCCAGGCCCCCAGCAAGGCCCUCCCACCCUUCUCAGGCCAUUUCCUGCCCUCCGGGCAGCACUGUACCCCCUUCCAGGAAACCGUCACUGAAUCCUGUCGCUGUCGCAGCAACUUCUACUCCAAUCAGAUGCCACAGGAAGUGCUAGCUGAUGUGGCUCUAACCCUCCCAGAGGCAAAUGCUCUCUCCUAACCAUCUGAAAAGAAAUGUUUUCAAAGGACUGCAGCUGGACCUGUAGAAAUCUAGGCAGUGGGGCCGAUCAACUGGACAAAGGAGGGCUGCUCAAAUCUCACCGAUAGACGGCAGUAGAAGUGAGAUGGCCUGGGGCCUUUGCCGCCUGGGGGUGACUCAGCAGGGCUGGCACUGCAGGCCAUGCCCGCGGGCACCCGCGGCCCAGCUGAGGCCCCCUCUGACUGAGCUGCCCUGUGGCUCCGCGCUUCAGCAGAGUCCUUAGAGACCAAGCGCUGGCCUGGACCGCUCCGUCGGGCCCUCUUCUGUCCUGUGCCUCAGGCAUCUGUGCCAGCAGCUCAAGCUACAGAUGAGACCCUGGAGCCCUUGAGGAGGGAGAAUAAAGAGACUUAUGAUGAA